AGAGUUUGAUCCUGGCUCAGAAUCAACGCUGGCGGCGUGCCUCAGACAUGCAAGUCGAACGAGAACCUCCCUUCGGGGAGGGGAAAGUGGCGCACGGGUGAGUAACACGUGGGUAAUUUACCUUUGGGUGGGGAACAACAGCCGGAAACGGCUGCUAAUACCGCAUAAUGCAGCGGCAUCGCAAGAUGACAGUUGUUAAAGCGGGGGAUCGCAAGACCUCGCGCCUAAAGAGAAGCCCGCGGCAGAUUAGCUAGUUGGUAGGGUAAUGGCCUACCAAGGCAACGAUCUGUAACCGGCCUGAGAGGGCGGUCGGUCACACUGACACUGACAUACGGGUCAGACUCCUACGGGAGGCAGCAGUCGGGAAUUUUGGGCAAUGGGCGAAAGCCUGACCCAGCAACGCCGCGUGAAGGAUGAAGCUUUUCGGAGUGUAAACUUCACAAGAAUGGGAAGAAUAAGUUUAGGAUAAUACCCUGAACGAUGACGGUACCAUUUGUAAGCUCCGGCUAACUCCGUGCCAGCAGCCGCGGUAAUACGGGGGGAGCAAGCGUUGUUCGGAUUUACUGGGCGUAAAGGGCGCGUAGGCGGCGCGACAAGUCACUUGUGAAAUCUCUGAGCUCAACUCAGAACGGUCAAGUGAUACUGUCGUGCUAGAGUGCGGAAGGGGCAACUGGAAUUCUUGGUGUAGCGGUGAAAUGCGUAGAUAUCAAGAGGAACACCUGCGGCGAAGGCGGGUUGCUGGGCCGACACUGACGCUGAGGCGCGAAAGCUAGGGGAGCGAACGGGAUUAGAUACCCCCGUAGUCC
Molecule: ribosomal RNA, 806 nt
Filed under: uncultured Acidobacteriota bacterium
Lineage: Bacteria; Pseudomonadati; Acidobacteriota
Description: bacterial SSU rRNA
Rfam family: Bacterial small subunit ribosomal RNA
Source: RNAcentral